GACGAACGCUGGCGGCGUGCUUAACACAUGCAAGUCGAACGAAGAGCGAUGGAAGCUUGCUUCUAUCAAUCUUAGUGGCGCACGGGUGAGUAACGCGUAAUCAACCUGCCCUUCAGAGGGGGACAACAGUUGGAAACGACUGCUAAUACCGCAUACGAUCUAAUCUCGGCAUCGAGGAUAGAUGAAAGGUGGCCUCUACAUGUAAGCUAUCACUGAAGGAGGGGAUUGCGUCUGAUUAGCUAGUUGGAGGGGUAACGGCCCACCAAGGCGAUGAUCAGUAGCCGGUCUGAGAGGAUGAACGGCCACAUUGGGACUGAGACACGGCCCAGACUCCUACGGGAGGCAGCAGUGGGGAAUCUUCCGCAAUGGACGAAAGUCUGACGGAGCAACGCCGCGUGAGUGAUGACGGCCUUCGGGUUGUAAAGCUCGGUUAAUCGGGACGAAAGGCCUUCUUGCGAAUAGGGAGAAGGAUUGACGGUACCGGAAUAGAAAGCCACGGCUAACUACGUG
RNAcentral lists this ribosomal RNA (510 nucleotides) under uncultured bacterium. RNAcentral's name for it is "partial 16S ribosomal RNA". It matches the Rfam family "Bacterial small subunit ribosomal RNA", at positions 28 to 507 of the family's 1533-position model. The record is from RNAcentral.